RNAcentral lists this ribosomal RNA (253 nucleotides) under uncultured bacterium. RNAcentral's name for it is "partial 16S ribosomal RNA". It matches the Rfam family "Bacterial small subunit ribosomal RNA", at positions 524 to 776 of the family's 1533-position model. The record is from RNAcentral.
UACGUAGGUGGCAAGCGUUGUCCGGAAUUAUUGGGCGUAAAGCGCGCGCAGGUGGUUUCUUAAGUCUGAUGUGAAAGCCCACGGCUCAACCGUGGAGGGUCAUUGGAAACUGGGGAACUUGAGUGCAGAAGAGGAACGUGGAAUUCCAAGUGUAGCGGUGAAAUGCGUAGAGAUUUGGAGGAACACCAGUGGCGAAGGCGACUUUCUGGUCUGUAACUGACACUGAGGCGCGAAAGCGUGGGGAGCGAACAGG